CUCCUACCAUUUACCCCAUAAUAUUCACUCAGAUACAUGUCCUAAUUAUGAUUCAAAAUCCUACAUCUGAUAAUAAUUAUUUACUGUAUAGUGGUAAAGAAAAUUCUAACAACAACUACUUAUGGAGUCUGAAGAAGGUAAAUGUAAGCAAAUUUUAUCUCUAUUUCGUGGCAUAGAUAGUGUUUCCAAUAGACUUUCAUCAAGUAAAAAAAGAAAAACCUUAUCACGAAAAAAUAUUCAACUUAUAUAUAUUAAUCAUGUUAAAAAAUUAUAUGCUAACAAAUAAAUUUUGACAUGCUAUAAUAUGUAAUAUUUUUAUUUUUCAGGUUUUCGAUCUUGCUAAGUAUGAGUAAUUGCUUGGAGUUAUUAUAUAGUAUGAUAGUACAAAAAUUCUUUAAUAUUAUGAGUGUAUAAAAAAUCUAUUUUUUAGGUCAUUCAUUACACUUUUAUUGAAUGAUAGUUCGAAAUUAUCUUUUAGGUAACCUAACAAUGUAAAAAUUGAUUUAUAUAUGCGAUAUUACUGUACAAAAGUUAAACUCAAAACUCAAGUGAAACCGAAAUAGAAAAGUAUAACAACAGACCUACUAAUCAACAAAUUUCUCCAAUAUUAUUUGGUGGAGAUUAAGGAAUGCCAAAAUAAUCGAGUAAUUAACAUUGUACCAGCAAAAUGACAUAAAUUUCAUAAGGUACACUAUAACAGUCCUUUCAACUUAAUAUGAUAUAUAUAGUAAUACUUUCAAAUUUUACAAAUAAGAGAAAAUUCGAAAGAACUUAAACUAAUAGCAAUAUCUUUCACAAUUCUCUCUUCUUCUUUUUUAACCCAAAUACACAAGGGAAAAAAAGAUUUAUAAUAAAAAUUCACUUAGUUUCCAAAGUUCUAUAGUCCAAAACACCAUUACUCUUUAAUCCUAAGAAAUUAUAACUUGCAAUAUUACCCAUAUUAUUUUUACUGCAAUUGCAAUCUUUACUAUUUUGUAUACCCAAACUGCAUGCAAAACACCUCGAGGGGCUAUGUUGGUAAUUUUGUAGAGAAGGAGGGCUAAUUCUGAGCUCAAGAUUUAAAUCAGGACACUGUUCUGGAAAUGGACUGCUACUAAUUUCAUCUUCUAAUUGACUUAGCCCAGAUUCAGCUUUGACAUUUAUCAUCUUAUUAUGAUCUUCUUCAAUAUCUUUAGUUUUAUGAUCUCCACCUGCAAAUGAAAUUGUUGUGAUUUUUUGCGUUGUACCGGGCUCGUUAACGGGCCUGUGUGUCGUAGGAUCAAUGCCCCGACUCAAAAGCUUCCUUCUUAUAUGUGUAUUCCAGUAAUUUUUUAUCUCGUUAUCUGUUCUUCCUGGUAAUCUUCCGGCUAUAAGUGACCAUCUGAAAAGGAAGAAGAAGGUAACUAAUGCAAGUUAGUUCACAUUUUAAGUAAUUCAACUUUAGUAACGAAAGUUGAAAAAAUGACAAAAAUAGUUUGUUAUGUCUCGAGUUAGUCUAAAAUAGUCCUUCAAGUAUAUUUAUCUGAGCAAUUUUAUUUUUCGAACUUCACAAGUGAGAUAGAGUUUUUUUUUUUUUUUGGAUAUGUAUAUGUAUAUUUUUCAAAUUUCUGAAUUAUUUUAAAUAAAAUUUCUGACUUCGCUGCUGAAUUGACAAAAAGUGAAAUUAAGGAGUGAGUAGUACAUACUUGUUACCCAGAAGGCUAUGGAGUUUGAUAAUGAGUUCAUCUUCUUCUUCAGUAAAAUUACCGCGUUUAAGGUCAGGUCUCAAGUAAUUAAUCCAGCGGAGACGGCAACUUUUACCGCAGCGGAGAAGUCCGGCAGCUUUGGGAAGGGAUCUCCAGCAACCUUCGCCGUGAGUUCUAAUAUAUGAAAUAAGUCGUUCAUCUUCUUCUUUAGUCCAAGCUCCUUUAUUUGUAUGUGCUUUUUCACAACACGGUGAUCUUCCCAUUGAACACUAAUAAUCUCAAACUACUUCUUCUGUGUAGUAUUUAGCUAUGGAGAAUUAAUUAAAGCCGGCUUUUUUCAGGACUUGAGGUGGGAUUUUAUAAGCUUUUGACUCCAUGAAGAAGAUGGACCCCACUGACGUAGGGAGGUGGUGGUGGGGUAGGAGUAGGAGAAAGGGAG
Molecule: long non-coding RNA, 2103 nt
Filed under: Solanum tuberosum (potato)
Lineage: Eukaryota; Viridiplantae; Streptophyta; Magnoliopsida; Solanales; Solanaceae
Description: long non-coding RNA (STUB_LNC002478)
Source: RNAcentral